AUGCAAAUGUAGGUGAUGUUUUCUGAACAUCCUGAUAUCUUGUUUGCAUUUUUCUGAGUUCAUAUCAACUUUUUAUGAAUGUUCAAACGACUUUGACCAUUAUUUUGAAACUUCAUAACAAGUUGAUAUGAACUCAGAAAAAUGCAAAUAAGAUAUCAGGAUGUUUACAAAACGUCACCUACAUUUGUAUGUAAUUUUUAUUCCUGAAAAAAAUAUUAUUUAUACCUUUUUAUUUUUAAUAAUGUUAAAAACAUUAACAAACUUAGGCAGUUUAAACGGUACUUUUUUAAUGAAUGCAAAUGACAUACACAUAAAGGUAAUGUUUAUCUGAACAUUUUCAUAUCUUAUUUGCAAUUUUCUGAGUUCAUAUCAAUUUGUUAUGAAUUUUCAAAGUAUUGGUCAAAUGGUCAAAGGGCAUUCAGGCGACUUAGGAGGAAAAUCUAAGGGCAAAACUGAGCAGAGUCAAAAAGUAAGGGCAAAACCCGUGGGUAGGUUCCAACUAGGGGCAAAAAUGCAUUUGUCCCAAUUUUAUAACCAAAGCAAAUUACCAUGCUGUUCUAAAGACUCUCAAAAUAAUAUAAGUGAAGUACGAUAGUUCAUUAAUUUCUAUAAAAUAAAACCACCGACGUGCUCUAAAAAAUAUAAGUGAAGCACAUAGAGCAAAAAUUUCCUAGCUCAAAAGAUAUAAGUGAAGCAUAUAGAGCAUUCUAAUAAAUUACGAUUCAUGCGCGUCUCUACUAAAAGGUGUGUACAGCAAGGAUAAUUGUGGCAAACUGAAAAGAAAAUACUCAAAUCAUACAAGACGCUCCAAGCAAAACACAUAUCAUGUGGUGAAUAAAUAUAGCCUCAAGUAAAGUUACCGAUAGACGAAGACGAAAGAGGGGAUGCCUUCCCGGGGCAUUCGCAAGCUUAGGCUCUUUGGCCUCCUUGAAUAUUACCUUGGGGUGCCUUGGGCAUCCCCAAGCUUAGGCUCUUGCCACUCCUUAUUCCAUAGUCCAUAAAAUCCUUACCCAAAACUUGAAAACUUCACAACACAAAACUCCAACAGAAAAUCUCGUAAACUCCGUUAGUAUACAAAAAUAAAUCACGACUUUUGGUAUUGUUAUGACCUCAUUAUUUAUUUAUAUUGGUGUAAUAUCUACUGUAUUCCAACUUUUCCAUGGUUCAUACCCCCCGAUACUAGCCAUAGAUGCAUGAAAAUAAGCAAACAACACGCAAAAAACAGAAUCAGUCAAAAACAGAACAGUUUGUAGCAAUCUGGAUAUUUCGAAUACUUCUGAAUCUCCAAAACUCCUGAUAAAUUAGGAAGUCCUAAGCAAUUUGUUUAUUAAUCUUCUGCAAAAGGAAUCAACUAAAAAUCACGUUCCUGUAAUUUAUGAAAAUUAUUUUCGUGGGCGCAAAAGUUACUGUUUUUUAGAAAGAUCAGAUUAACUAUUACCGUAGGCUAUCCCAAAGGUCUUACUUGGCACAAACACUAAUUAAAACACAACACCACAUCUAACCAGAGGCCAGAUGAAAAAUUUAUUGAUAAACAGAACCUAAAAAGCAAAAACAAAAAUAAAAUUGGGUUGCCUCCCAACAAGCGCUAUUGUUUAACGCCCUUAGCUAGGCAUUAAACACGGAUAGAUCUAAGUAUAAUCGUAAUAAUGAUAAGGUAGAUCUUGAAAACUCAUCUCAUAAUCCCUACGUUCAGCAGCGAGUUUUCUUUGUGGUAAGCAAAAAUAGUCAAAAGGGCUAAAUUUAAUAGGACAAGAAUCCCCAAGAUCAAUUUCGGGAGGAAUUGGUUCCUCCUUUGGCCCUUCAUAUUGUAUGACCAACUCAUCAUUAUAAGUGUUCUUUUGGCAAAAAGUCAUGAGUUUAUGUCCAAGACAGAAACCCAAUCCGUUGCUUUGUAUAGCAAAGUUAUUAUUAAGCUUAGAAAUCUUAUCAACUAAAACAUCGGUGGGGACUCUCUUUCUUAAAUUUUCAUUAUAAGCAACAUGAUCUAAAGAACGUAAACGCAUUAUAUCCUCUUGAUUAAAGAGAAUUCCCUCUAUGGGAGGAUGACCACCAUCUACUUUAUAAUGAGCGAAAAUUUCACUAGCUUAUUUCAUAAUAAAUCUAAACUCAUGAGCUAGGAAUAUAGUGGCGGCGCGCUUAACACAAGAAUGCUCAAUAUUAGAAAACUCUAGAAAAAUCCUUUGUAUGGAUGGAUGCAUGUGAACAAAUUGUCUUUCAAGUUCAACAACAAGCAAAGAUAUAGCAUCCGCAAGGCUACUAGUUUUAUGGAGAAUAGAUCCACCCAUAGUGGGGAGUGCACCGACACAAAUAAAGAAAUCUUGAUUAACCCCUUUUCCAAUAAUAUUUCCGCUGCCUAUGUGGAAUUUCUUAGCAUGCAAGAUAGUAAUUUCCUCAUGAGGAUCAGAAUUAAAAAAAGUAUCAAAGUUUCCCCCAUCCUUACUACUAUCCUUUUCAGCAAUAACCUCCCCAGUUUCAGACAUGGUGGUGGCAAACGAGCAAACGAUUAAGCGGGGAAGACGAAAGGAAGAAAGGGAGAGGAAAAGGAAAAUAUUUUCAAAAUCGUUUUAGAAGUGGGGGAGAGGAAAACGAGAGGCGAAUGGUGAAUAAUGUAAUGCGAGGGAUGAGAGUUUAUGAUGGGUACUUGGUAUGUCUUGGCUUGGCGUAGAUCUCCCCGGCAACGGCGCCAGAAAUCCUUCAUGCUACCUCUUGAGCUUGCGUUGGUUUUUUCCUUGAAGAGGAAAGGGUGAUGCAGCAGAGUAGAGUAAGUAUUUCCCUCAGCUUUUGAGAACCAAGGUAUCAAUCCAGUAGGAGACAACGCGACAAGCCACUGAAUACCUGCACAAACAAAUACCAACUUGCACCCAACGCGAUAAAGGGGUUGUCAAUCCCUUCACGGAUAUUUGCAAAGUGAGAUCUGAUAUAGAUGAUAAACGGUAAAGUAAUAUUUUUGGUUUAUGGAACGGAAAGUAAAAGAUUGCAAAGGAAGUAAAUAGGAAACUAAGAUUGUAGAUUGGAAACUUGUAAGAUGGAAAAUAGAAUAUCAUAUGAUGGAAAAUAGACCCGGGGGCCAUAGGUUUCACUAGAGGCUUCUCUCAAGAUAGAAAUUAUUACGGUGGGUGAACAAAUUACUGCCGAGCAAUUGAUAGAAAAGCACAAAGUUAUGACGAUAUCUAAGGCAAUGAUCAUGUAUAUAGGCAUCACGUCCGUAUCAAGUAGACCGAAACGAUUCUGCAUCUACUACUAUUACUCCACACAUCGACCGCUAUCCAGCAUGCAUCUAGAGUAUUAAGUUCAUAAGAACAAAGUAAUGCAUUAGGCAAGAUGGCAUGAUGUAGUGGAAUUAACUCAAACAAUAUGAUGAAACCCCCAUCUUUUUAUCCUCAAUGGAAACAAUACAAUACGUGUCGGUUCCCCUUCUGUCACUAGGAUCGAGCACCGCAAGGUUGAACCCAAAGCUAAGCACUUCUCCCAUUGCACGAAAAACCAAUCUAGUUGGCCAAACCAAAUCGAUAGUUCGAAGAGACUUGCAAAGAUAUCAAAUCAUGCAUAUAAGAAUUCAGAGAAGAUUCAAAUAAUAUUCAUAGAUAAGCUGAUCAUAAAUCCACAAUUCAUCGAAUCUUGGCAAACACACCGCAAAAGAGUAUUACAUCGAAUAGAUCUCACGAACAUCAAGGAGAACUUUGUAUUGAGAAUCAAAGAGAGAGAAGAAGCCAUCUAGCACCUAGCUAUGGACCCGUAGGUCUGUGGUAAACUACUCACGCUUCAUCGGAGAGGCAAUGGUAUUGAUGUAGAAGCCCUUCGUGAUGAAUCCCCCUCCGGUAGGACGCCAGAAAAGGUCCCUAGAUGGGAUCUCACGGGUACAGAAGGUUGCGGCGGUGGAAAAGUGGUUUCGUGGCUCCCCUGGAUGUUUUCAGGGUAUAAGAGUAUAUAUAGGAGGAAGAUCUAGGUCAGGGGGUCACCGAGGGGCCCACAAGGUCGCGGGGCCCGCCCUACCCCCCUGGGCGCGCCCUCCACCUUGUGGCCGCCUCGUGGCUCUUCUGACUUGCACUCCAAGUCUCCUGAGUGUCUUCUGGUCCAAGAAAAAUCAUCGCGAAAGUUUUAUUCCGUUUGGACUCCGUUUGGUAUUCCCUUUCUGCGAAACUCUAAAAUAAGGAAAAAACAGAAACUGGCACUGGGCUCUAGGUUAAUAGGUUAGUCCCGAAAAUCAUAUAAAAUAGCAUAUUAAUGCAUAUAAAACAUCCAAAACAAAUAAUAUAAUAGCUUGGAACAAUAAAAAAUUAUAGAUACGUUGGAGACGUAUCAGGCCCCCUUAAACAGGCACCCCAUAGUCCAACCGUUAUGCCCACUGGUCGUGCACAAGCUGUACUACCGCUUGGAGGAGCGGUACUACCGCUUAGCACGGCAAAAACAGCCCUACGAAACAAAAAACACGAAUAGUAGAUCUACCGGAGAGGUAGUACCGCUCGAGCGAGAGGUAGAGUACCACUCGGGGGAGCAGUACUACCUCUUAGAGAGGUACUACCGCUCUCUACUACCGCUCAAGCGGAUUGGGUAACAGAAGCAUAUAAAUAAGCGGAAGUGGAAGCGGUAUUGGUCAGCGGAAAUACCGCUUGAGAGGUACUACCGCUCUACUACCGCUCAAGCUGAAAAAUACCCAAGCAAAAUAGAAGGAUGCAAGAAGACCAAAACUACCAUAACUUCUGCAAACGAACUCCGAUUUCGACGAACUCAAGCUUGAUAGAAAGCUAACGACAAGAAUUGUCAAAUCACGACAAACAGAGAUUAUGCCUAUGAUAUAGAGAUGUGAAGCCUCCAUGAGUGAAGAGCCGACAUAAACUCCAACAUCGAAAACAUCAUAGAAGAUGCAUAUGAAAUCCGUUUUCGAUGAACUCAAGCUUGUCAUGAAGAUGACCAUAAGCUCUAAAACUCACAAAGAGAUACGCCAAAAAAGAACCAAGAAAGAUGAUGCAAGGAUGCAAUGAUUUAAGCUCUCUACGAAUGAUACGGUCAAGCUACUCACUAGAGAGCCCCCUUGAUAGUAAGGCAAUCGAUCCUAUAACCUGGUCUCCCAACUACCACCAAGAGACCGGUAAAAUUGAAAACCUAUCACGGGCAAACCUUUGUCUUGCACAAAUUCCACUUGAGGAUGAUGACGAUCUUGACUCUCUCAAGUUGGACCACCUUUCUUGAUUGUGUUGGCUCGAUGAAGGCUAGUUGAUUGCUCCUCCAUACUCCACUAUGGGCGAGCCACUCUUCGGCACAUCUUCACAAGUCCAUUGUCACAACAAUGGACGACAAGCUUCAAGCAAGAUCUCUUCGUGAUGCUCCACUUGAACUUGCACACCGCAAUCUUGAUGACGAUCACCACUUGAUGUCAUCCUCCAUGGGUUGUAUGAGAUCUUUCUCUUGACGCAAGCCCAUGGAGACACACCUAACCCCACAUAGAACUCUCACGUAGACCAUGUGUUAGUACACAGAGCGUAAUCGACAAUGCUUACCAUACCAUGGGAUCACUUGAUCCCUCUCGGUACAUAUUGUAUGCUUUGUGUGUUGAUCAACUUGAUUCACUCUUUGACUUAGUCUUGAUCAACCUUGUAUUAUGUCUUCUCUCUCACCAAUCUUUGGAUAAUUCCUUGAAUAGCACAUUGGUCAACACAUAAACUCUUUGAAACCAACAUAUGGACUUCAAGAAACGCCUAUGGACAAAUCGUACGAAUAUAACUCAAGGCAACCAUCAGUCCUUAUUAGAGAAUGUCAUCAAUUAUCAAAACCACACAUGGGGUCACCAUGCUCUUUCAGUGAUACUCCUUGGAAGUGCCUGGUUGGGGUAAACUUAGGGUUGGGGUGCUGCUAUAUGUGGGUUAGUGAUGGCUGCGGUGCAAUNNNNNNNNNNNNNNNNNNNNNNNNNNNNNNNNNNNNNNNNNNNNNNNNNNNNNNNNNNNNNNNNNNNNNNNNNNNNNNNNNNNNNNNNNNNNNNNNNNNNNNNNNNNNNNNNNNNNNNNNNNNNNNNNNNNNNNNNNNNNNNNNNNNNNNNNNNNNNNNNNNNNNNNNNNNNNNNNNNNNNNNNNNNNNNNNNNNNNNNNNNNNNNNNNNNNNNNNNNNNNGGGGGUGCGUUGUUACCCUUCGGCGGCUGUUGCCCUGCUGUGUUCGUGCUUGACAGCCUAUGAGCGGCAUCCUGGUGCUGGAUGUAGGGGAGAUGGUCUCCCCUCCGGCAUUGGCAUGACUGGGCUGUGGCAGAGCUAAUGGUUUCUCUUGCAAGGCUCGAUCCUCCUCUUCACUGCUCGUUGGCGGUCCACGGACUCCUCUGUUCCCGUUGUUCUGGUCGGCGUUGUGCUCUCCAACAACAUGGUUUUGUUUCACAUUGUGUUGGCAGUUUCGCUCUUUGGCCGGCUUUUAUAGUUUCGGCCUUGGGCGAUCUAUGUUUGUAAUUUUUCAGUCUUUUUUUUCCUCAUGCGCAGCCGUUGUAAUAAUAUGCACUUUGUAUCCUAGCCAGUUGAUGGCUUCGUUAAUUUGAAGUCGGGCUAAAUGCAUUUCAUUUAAAAGAAACUUGGAUAGGAACACACCAUUUAUUGCAUUAUAAUCGACUACACACGCAUCUUGCGAUGGAUCGCACCAUUAUUCGCUUGUAGUACUAGGCGAGGUCUAUCGCAACGCCAUUGUUACAGUAUUUAGAAAGUCUUUAUUGCAUGUCUUCUCGCAUCAUAUAGCCGAUUGACUAUGCGAACGGCCUCUGGUUGUAGCAGUCCAGGUUGUCGCCGUAGCUGACGCCGAGGAGGUCACAGUAGCGCUUGUAGAACCCGAUCCGGUCGGCAACACGGCCGUCCUGCCCGCGCCCGCACUCGAGCCCACCGUUGAUGAUGUUAGUGAUCACACCGUACCCAGGCACCCUCCCCGCCGCCUGGUCGGCGCCUGAGGGGCUCCACCGGCCUGUGAUCACGUCGUGGCUCGAAGGUUUAGGUGACUGCGGCGUCAUCCAGAACCACAGCGCCGUCUUGAAGGACACGGUCGCGUCCGUCGCCACGAGGUCCGGGUUAUUGAGCAGGUCGGUGCUGAUGGCCCGCCCCGCCGGCCCGUAGUUGUAGUUGUAUGAGAUCUGGAUGGGCCCGCGCCCGAAGUACUUCUUGCCCGGCGCGCACGGCCACUGCGAGCUCGGCGAGCAGUAGUCGGAGGUGGCGCCGCGCUCCUGGUUGAAGCAGUAGCCCCAGGAGUAGGGGCCGUCGGGCGCCGUCGGCCACCCGCCGGUGGUCUCGUGCGAGGUCUGAGCGAGGAACGCGGCCACCUCGCGCUUCCUGACGUCGGCGCCACCCGUGGUCGCGAAGCCCGAGAACGAGUUGGCGGCGGCGACGAAGGCGCCGUAGUUGUAGAACCCCUUGGCCAGGCACGCCGCGUCGUUGCGGUGCAGCAGCAUCUGGUCAAAGAGCGACUGCGAGAUAAUGGAGGACACGCCACCUCCGCCGGAGGGGGUCGGUACCGGUACCGGGGUGCCGCCGCUGCAGCCGUUGCACUGGCUCUGGCAGCCGGUGCCGCAGUAGUCGGAGGUGGUGCCGCAGAAGCCGAACUUGCUGCAGCAGAGGCAGUUGGGGCACGUCGCCCCGCCGGCCUGCGAGCCGCACUGCUCGGCGUGCGCGGACACGGCGAAGGCCGCGGCCAGCAUGGCCGCCACCACAACUCCUCUCAUCUUGGGCAAUCAAGCAGAGUCCGCUCAGCUGGUGAUUGUGUGUCACACUGCUCGUGUAGUGGUGUGUGUGUGCCAGAAUCUGUUGCAGUGCACGUCUUUGUAUAGCCAGCAAGCCACAGCAGACGUGCCCAACUUUCCACGAGGCCACGAUCGCUCUAGUUAGUCUAGCUGCUCAGUACAAGCAAGUUCGGCAGAUCUCGAGAGCGAUGCAGUACGUGUACUUUGUACGCAUGUUUCGAUCUCGUGUAAGCUAGCUACAGAUGAGUCAGUGAUCACUAAUGGAAGCAUGGAAUGCCGGUGCUGGUGCACAUGCCGGUGCACCGGACGUUGAUCGGGCUGGAAGUAAGCGUGGAAAAACCCUCUCAAGUCAGCUUCGGUUGCACUGCUGGUCAGAUUUUUCUCCCGCUUCCUGCGCGCAUGCAAGCAAGCAAGCAUGCAUGCAUGCACCAGCUCAGCUUUGAUGUGCGACCAAACAUUGACCGCCGCAUUAAUGGAUGGACGGACGUGGAAUUUUCUUGGUGAUGUCGCUUGCAUGCAUGGAAUUCCAUUCUCUUUCUACUUGUUUUUUUUCUGUUAGCGACGCCCUGCCGACCAGGCGGAUACAUAUGAACAGCCUCCAUUACGACGGAAAAUACACUGGAGCUCCUGGUGCUCCACACCUUCAUAUAAAUAUUAAAUUAAAAAAGGAAACUCAAUUCAAUGUUUUUUAGAAUUUGGGGAUAUCAAACAUGGGUGUCCAAUCUACUCACGUGUGAAGUUUCCUGAAAAGAUAUCAGGAAAUGUAUCCAUGUCGAAGAAAAUACAGUCCGGCCUACGAUCCGUCCAAACAAUAUUUUUUCUAUACGUUGGAUUAUUUUUGUCUUUUCAUCGAGAAUACAUUUUCUGAUAUUUUUCACAAAACUUCACAUGAGAGUAGAUUGAACACCUAGGUUUGAUAUCCCAAAAUUUCAGUUUUUUUAAUUUCCCUAGUUUGUUGUAUGAAUUUAAUACUCAUAUAGGGGGUGGAGCACCCGAGUGCUCCAACUCCUCUUCCCCAAUACAACACUAUUUCACAUAUUAAGAACUGAAUUACACAUCUUUCUAGGUUAAGACAAGAUUAUUGCAUUUUAAAGCUUGACAUGAAUAAAAUAGAGUAAAAUAACACUAAACAUCAUCUUUCCAGGUUUUAAGAGAAUGACUAACCUAGCGGACCAUAGAUACAUGUCCGUAGUUUUUAGAAGUCUCGAAACGAACGCAGUGGAACAAUGACAAGAAGAGCUCAAGCACAUCCAUGGAGUCAACAAAGACAUACUUCAGCACCUCUUGCAUCAUCCCCUUUCGCGCUUCCCUGAAGUCUUACGGCCAAGACAUGCACAUAUGAGAUACUAAGCCCUUAUUCUCUUCAACCCUAUAGAUUCUUCAAAAAUCAUAUUCCCUCCAGCCCAUAUUAAUUGUCGCUCAAAUGAAUGUAGCACUGAAAUAAAUCUAGAUACAUAUGUUUAAGCGACAACUAAUAUGGAUCAGGGAGUACUAAUAUGCUAUCUAGUAACCAUACUAAACGGUCUAUCUUGAAAAUGGUGAACCCAUCGGGAACCAACCAUAUUUCAAAUCCAACAUAUAGGAGAGGUUCUCUUCCUACCAUCUUCACUAGCCUUUCUCCCAGGAUGAUGCAGGCUUGUGAGUGGUGGAUAUGCAACAUUCGCUCCCUUUUGAAUGCUCGCAUGAGCUGCCCAAUAUGAUUGUGAUAUAUUUUCGUGUAAUGAUCAUAUUAGCUGCUGAACAUGAUUAUGAUAUUGUGUCUUGAUGGUUAUUGAAACAUCAAUAUCUUUAGAUAUAGUUACUUGAUUUGAUAUUAAUUUUGUUAGAUGUGUGUUGGAUCCUUGUUCAUGUAAGUAAUCAAGGCAUGAGUAUUUCAAUCUCUGCUACAAUAUGUGAAGGUCAUGUACACUGAAACCAAAUAGGCAAUGGAUCAUCAACAAGGAUCUAGGAUCAAAACUAGAUGCCUAUGAACAAAACAAUUUAUUAGCAUGGGUGGGUGGGAAUUAAGUUAUGUUGCCAUCUCUCGGCUAAUAUUCAUGAAUUCCCACUAACCAAACAUGGAAUAAAGAUAUCUCUCAAAUUCUCACGUGUAAUACUCAGUCGGCACCAAACAGGGGAUUUAGAAUAAAAUGGCCUUCCCACGUCUAAUCUCUUCAUAUAACUCCCUCCUCUAAAUUCCUCUACCCCUUCCCAAAGGUUACCGAACAUGUUGUAAGGGUCACCUCUUUUGACCUUAUGUUUUUUUUCAGAAACAGGCUUAUGGAAAGUGGUGGAAAUAAGCACCGGUAAGAGGAAACCUCAUGAAACUACUUUUCCUGUUCUUUCAGCUUAAGAAAUUUUGGAUUUUAUCUAUGUUAAGCUUUGCAAAGCCUCUAAUACCCCUCGACUUCAACUAUGUGUUGAUUUAUAGAUAAUAUAUUAGCAAUUUAUCGUUAUUAUACCGCAUAAAUGAGCAAAAAAAGAAUCUCAAACAUCAUUUAUAUCAUGAGUGCAUUUUGUGUCAUGUUUUUCUUAGCUUUUUUUGCAUCAUAGUCGCAUGAUGUUUUGUAUUUUACCACGUUUGCGCAUACCUUUUUGCCAGCUUUCGCCAGGACUACAAGGAAGCAAGAGAUUUGGAGCAUUGAAUGGGGAACACCAAUGUUUGGUGUAAAUUAUGCUAAUUAGAUGUCAUAAAAGCCUACCAUACGAAGAGAUAAGCACAUGGGAAGAAACCAGGUUGCAUUCUCCACUCAAGAAGAGUAGAAGAUAUUCAUACGAGUCGACAGCUCGUACAACAACGGUAGUAUCGUUCAGAUCUCGGAUGCGAUGAAUGGAUAGACUCCAGCCCGUGAAACAAAAGCAAAAAACCUCACUUCUAGAAGACAUCCGGAGGGGGAAUUGGUAGAAGGGCACCACCUCGCCACACCUUCGAUCAUGAAGUUCACACCAUAAAUCAUCAUCAACAUCAUCCACAUCCUAGACAUCAACUCCUUCAUUCAUCUCGUUGUAAUCCCAAACAUAGUGUGAAUUUGUAUGCAUAUCACAUCAAUCAUUGAUCUUCUAUUGACAUGAACACAUCGAUGAUGUCUUGUGUCUCUAUGUCUGAUUAAUUCCCUAGUUCUCAUGGACACGGACGAACCUUAUCAUUUAUAUGAUAUGAACGCCAGUAAGAUAUAUGAUCCUCGUAAUACGAUUCUGGUAAUAUUCUUCUUUAUAUUGUGUGUUUGUCGAUUGCACGACAUUUAGCCCAUUGGGAUUUGAAGGAUAUUAUUAUCUUUGUGAUGUGGGGUUAGAGAUAAAAUGGUGACAAAGGCUACCCAUCUUCUUAGAGGAUCAUUGGUAUGUAAAUAAUGGUGACCCAUGUGUUUUAUGCGGCGUCCACAGGGACACCCUUAUUGAUCAUCGUACUCCGUCGGUAGGUAUUGGAGGGAUAGUGUUGGCGUCUGUGACGCGGAGUUGCGGUAGUAUGCACAUAGCCCACACAAUACACAUAUAACAUGGAUUACAUAUGUCAAUCAAAGAUUGUGUUUCUACACAAUCAAGUACCAUAAAUACAAGGGGUGAAUCUGAACUCCCUGAGAACGCCUUUAGCCUUAGAUGCAGUUUUCAUCAUUUCCAUUACUCUCUUGUUCUUGAUUACUAUCCUUCUGCACUUUAAUUCUUGCUCUUGCACAUAGACUCUUGCAAUAUUUCCUUCUUCACAUCGCUUUUGCUUGGGAUCAAAUAUAACUUGCAAACACACUCGGGUAAAUCUCUAUAAGGGGCAAAAGACCAGUUCCUUGGCCCUCUGUGGGAUCGACACUCUUAUGUUGAAAACAACUACAACUAAAUUAUGUGCAAUUGCAGGACAUCAAGCUAUUUUCUUGUUUCAUUGUCGGGAAGCUCUCAUUUGGUCAUUGUUACAAGUUGAAAGUGUAUUUAUCUCUAAAUGGUAUUUUGUGUGAUGAUAAUGCGGUUAGUAGAAGUAAUGACGGUUGCUAAGAUUUAUCUCAGGUCAUUGGUUCCUUGGAUAUUUAUCGUGGAGAUGGUUCAACACCCUNNNNNNNNNNNNNNNNNNNNNNNNNNNNNNNNNNNNNNNNNNNNNNNNNNNNNNNNNNNNNNNNNNNNNNNNNNNNNNNNNNNNNNNNNNNNNNNNNNNNNNNNNNNNNNNNNNNNNNNNNNNNNNNNNNNNNNNNNNNNNNNNNNNNNNNNNNNNNNNNNNNNNNNNNNNNNNNNNNNNNNNNNNNNNNNNNNNNNNNNNNNNNNNNNNNNNNNNNNNNNNNNNNNNNNNNNNNNNNNNNNNNNNNNNNNNNNNNNNNNNNNNNNNNNNNNNNNNNNNNNNNNNNNNNNNNNNNCAUGGGUUGUCCUGGUUGUCCAAAGAGAUAUGCGCCCACCGAACUACUACCUGAUAUCCAAGCAAAUCUACCAAGGACAGAUCUGCCGGGGACACACCUCCACAUGCCCACCGACGAUGCUAGACACAUUACCGGGAUGGGGGCUAGGCGGGGAGAACCUUAUUCCAUCUUCAGGGAGCCGCCGCCUUCUUGUCUCCCUGAGCAGGACACAAACCCUAAAAAACUCAAAGGGACAUCUAAAAACAUAGCCCUCCUGCUGGCAAGGGCCGGGAUCCACCGCGCAGCCAUGACCCUAAGGCCACCGGAGACGAGGUGGACCGGCGGCGGCGCUGACGGGAGGCAGAUGAACCCUAAGCUUUUCUUGAGGGAGGAGGCGGUUUCCUGAGAACUUUUGAUCUUUGUAUCAUGAGCUUUGUUAAUGGAGUUGGAUCUUGUGAUGCCCAUCUAUCCUCUUUUUUUAUUGAAUUGAGUCUUGCUCCUCUAUGAGUUUCUUUAUGUUGAUAGUAUCUUUUAGGAACGGUGGGCAGAAGGGAAAUUCGCAGGGGCACGCACCUGCCAAGCCCUUGUCCGACUGCUCGAUUGCCUCGCGAUUCGUGAAGUAGUUCAAUCCUACACAAGGGCACAAUAAGUUUUAAGUUUUUGUCGUUGAAACUUAUGCUUUUUUAUCUGAAACUUGCGAUUUUCUCGCUCUGUUUUACAAGUUUCAUAGAUAAAUUUUUUAAGAUAUUUUUUUGUUGAUCGUAGGCACAAAAAUCAUGAUUUUAUCGUUUGCACGUACUAAGUUUCAAGAGUUAAAACUUAACACUUAUUUUUUGAUGUUAACUCUUAUUUUUUAAAUUCAUCAAAACGUAUUCAAAAUGGAUCUUAUUUGAAAGUCCUAGUCACGAGAAACACGAAUAUGAAAACAUAACUUAAUUUGGACUUUAUAUUCAAAAGAUAUAAAAAAAUUAAAAUCAAAAGACGAAAAAAAGCAUGCGCAAGGGACUCGGUGCCCCCCGCACUUGCCUGUCAGAAAUCCUGUCCCGUGACCACAAGCAUGCUACAAGCCGGUGGCGCUUGACCAUAGCCCCUCCUAGGGCGCCGGUGUGGGGGUCACGGUGGAGGCUUCAGACUCAAUUCUCAGUAGCACGGUGGCCGGAGCAUGGUGCCGGGCGGCUAGAGUGCAGGUGCUAGGGCGUUCCCACUAGGAAUCGUGGAAGAAAAUUUUGACGCUCGUGGGUUUGGCUGAAUCUUUUGGGAUGGAGGGGCUAUAUUUAGGCUCACUCCAAAAACAUUUUGGGAUUUGAAAGCCUAUUCGCGAUCAGUCAGAUGGAUAUAGUGACAAUUAACCAGAAGAAAAAAAAAACUGUCUACCUACCAUAAUCUGCUAAGGGCAAAACUGUCGCUGGCUAGCAUGCAAAGCCGGGCUUUGUUGAGGAUUUAUCCCGUUUAACUUCAAGGGUAAGACUACAAUGAUGUUCAAAAUCACUCUACCUACUUGCUACAACCUCUAGGAUAAAAGGUGCAGUUACAAAGAACAGGGGUCACAGAUCAUCAGGAACUUAACAAUAUACUAUCAAGGUUCUACCCCAUGUUAAAAGCAAUAUCUGAACAAUCAUCCUGAGAAUUAUCUUGAUAGCCUAAUAUAUGAUAUCUACUUCCUAUAUUGCGAGGAAUAUAUUAAGUCGGACCUGAAAGGUCUACAUAGUACCUCAGGUUUUCAGGUUCUAUUGAAAACACAUCAGAUAUUUAGCAACCAUCCUAUUCAUGUUAGUAAUCCGUUAUUGCUGUCUACGACCAACCUCCAUGGAACCUAGCCCUUGUCUCUAGUCCAUCAGGACCUUCAAACGAACCGGUCCGCACCGAGUUUUGGCGAUCCAUCACUGUGGGUUGCACUUGUGUGUCCCCCUUCCGGGUUAUCAAUGUGCCGGAUGUAUGCGUGAGGCCAUAGACCUGUCGUUGAAGAAUGUAAAAUCAUCAAUAAUCUUGACAAAGAUAAAAGAAGAUAAUGAUCCUAGCUUUCCAACAGAGCAAAUUACAGUAGAGUAUGAGAUAGCCCUGCUACAUCAAACUCCGGUCUUGAAUUACCUAGUAGUUUAUAAUAUAUCCCCCCACAAUAAAAAAUACAUCAAUAUAAGCAUUUCUCGCCAUGUGCAUAGCACAUGAUUAAUAUAAAAAAUUGGUGUGAAGGGCACCCGUUGUCAAUUGUGGUGACAAAACAUAAAGAUUAGUUUGAGCACUUCAAGGGAUAUCGUUGAAGAGUUUGUUACCAAAUUAUGUGAUGAACUGGAAAUUGGACACAAAACCUCCACGUUAUCUGUUUUCAUACAUGCUACUGUAUCAUCAGUGGUGCAUAACAACCCAAGUAUAUUACAGAACACACAAUGAAAACCUUUGCUCUGAUGAUUUUGUACAAAUGAGUAUGUGGUUAUAAUGCCUGAAGGCUAGACCUUGAUGCCAAUUUUCACUAUUGCAAAGCACUUUCCAAUUAACACCAGUGGUUUCUAAGAACUAUUCCCUAACUCAGUGGAGUCUUGCGAGUUACCCUAAAAGAAGUAUGAAGCAUACCAUUUUCAUCAGACGGCAGUGGAAAAAAUUGCAGGUAGCACAAAGAGGCAACCACCAGUCCUGCAGAAUUUUAGUUAACACAUUAGAUUAUCAAGAAUUACAUGUACAACACUUUUAAAUUCUAUCUUUAUUUGUUUUGCAACGUAAUCUUUAAUAGAUAACCAUGUCAGACCUACCCAGAACUCCACCAGUGCACACAUCUUGCCAAUGAUGCCGGUAGUCGUCUACUCGAGAAACAGCCACUAAGGCUGCACCAAGCAGAGGGAGAAAAAUAAUGCAGAGUUUUGCAACAUGGCCUCUUCGAUCAAAAACUUUGAUUUUUCCAGCUAGAUACCAUGAGAGGAACCCGAGGCCAGCAAAAGACACUGAGAAACAGAAAAUUUGUGAGUCGUUCACCUCAAGAACAGGUAGCAUGUAAAAGCUCUUGCAGUUUAGAGUAUCAGCAGUCAUAGUUUUUGCAUUGCUGAGGUAAAAGGGAACUGACGAACAUGCUUUCACUUACAAGAAGUAUGACCACUUGGGAAACUCUUGUGACCUUCUUUGAUAUCACUCGCUUUACCAUGACACAGGACGCCCGUAGUAAAAUUGUCAUAGGCCUGAACAUCAAGCAAAGCCAUAAGUUGCAUAGAAAGGUCAGAUGAAAUCGUGCGAAGGGCUCCACUCAAACAAUCAUUGAAAGAUCAACCAAAGGUGAGCACAUUACAGGUACUCCGUCAGGAAAACAGCGCCAAAAGAAAUCUGGACGUGGCCGACCAACACCAUCCUUAAUCGCAUCAGUUAAAACUGCAGUUAUAGCCACUGAAAAGAGGAGACCUGGUAGGACAAGCUAGAUUUCUUAUUAAUUGCAUAAGAAUAAGAUAUCACAAACUUGCAUGGAAGAAUAUGAACGAACCUAGUAUGGCAUGAUGCAAAUCAUAGACAUUCCUCCUCUUGAUGUAUAUACUGGUCAUGAUAAUCAUAGGUCCAAUGAUACCAUAUAUCUGCAUAAUCACGAUAAUUCAAGACAAUGUAGGAGGUUCAUGAAAAUAAACAGGAUAGAACUAAGAGUUAAAAAUAUAUACCGGCACCGUCCAAAAUGGCACCGUGUUGUCUUUCAUGGGAUAUCGGAGAUCCGUGAGCAUGUCCGAUCCAACAAAUCGAUGGAAUGGUUCUAUUUUAUUUAGUACUCCAUCCACCACAACUAGAAUAACCAGCACAAUCCAGUCAUACAUAUGUAGCCUUGCAAUUUUAGCUCCAUGCGAUGUUACAUAGGGUGGUGGAACUGCCACACGAAUAGGUGCUGAUGGAGAUGGCAUCGCUUCCUGAGUUUUGAUCUGUCAAUCCAUCCACCGAAUAGAUUUAAGAAACUAGUAAAUAAAUUAUAGCAAACAUGCCUAUUUGUCAAAGAAACAAUAAACUUUCAAUCACCACAUUCAAGAACCUUGAGCAUCGAAGAGAUGGUCAAGGCAAUACUUGCACCUGUUUCUAUGUUGUAGACUAGCAACCCAGGAACAAGGGUUCUUUAGCAUCAGCUAAGUUAUGAAAUUUGACUAUUUGGGAAAAUAUACAGUUUGAGUGAGAAUCUUGUUAGGGGAUGAAAAUCUAAACUGAUUCAUUUUUGUUACUCUUACUCACAGAACAUGCGCCCUGUGUGCUGUAGAUGUUCAAGGGAGAUAUAGUGUCCUAGAACAGUCACGUGAUUGUAAGUGAUAACAUGGGCUGCAGCAAACAUAACAAAAUAGAACAAACAUAACAAAAUAGGACGAGGCAAAACUAGAACAAUCUGUCAUUAUCAGCACACAACAGAAGGUACGAACAGAAAUAGAGGUCCUCGAUUAAACUAUAUAGCACUAAUAAGUAAACAAACUAACUAAACAUGGUGAUGCCAAUAAUCAACAAUUCACCAGACAUCACAUUUCUUUUGCUUAAACAGUGUAGUAAGUGAUAAGAUGGGCUGCAGUAAAGAUAUGUGUGACACUGCGCCACGGCAGACAAGGGGAAUGCCGUGCAGUUAUGUUGCAAAAUUGUUGCAGGUUCAGUAUCAAGUGGAAGUUGCAAGAACAAAGGAGGAACAGAAACUCCUUCGCGUUAUUUGCAACCCUGCCUAGUGCAAUCAGGGCAUGGUGGCUUCCAUUGGUGGCACAAACACAGUGCGCACAAGGCGCUCGACUAUUUGACGCCCCCAGCCACCGAGGCCUUGGCCUUCAUGGUGCGAAAUUAGUCACCACAAGUUCACGAGAGGAACGCGCAUACACAUCAGAUCCGGGAUAAGAUCGAACCUGUAGCAAAGCUAGCUCCUCAGAAAAGAAGCACCGAUUUGCCUGAUCGCCUCCUCCCCUUCCCUCGGCACGGCUGUGAGAAAAUAAGAAGGCGAAUCAACCACCAUCCACAGGUAGUCAUGCCAUUACGCAAAAUGUGGAGAAGGGGUGUGUAACCAACCUGCGACCCCACGAUCUUUCCACGUUCGUUUCCCUCUUCUUGCAGCGGUUGACAUCAGGCGAUGCGGCGAAGGGAAGAAGAAGAAAGGGUCUCCGGGAAUUCGUCGUUGGCUGGCCAUCUCGAUGUUUUCCAUUGGCGAAUUUCUUGACCAACGACAAACGUGGGCGCGCAGGGAAGGAGGGGGACGAGGAGCCCGCCAGGGGGCAGGCGCUGAUGAAAGACUCGCGAAAUUUGGGGGGUGCCGGCGGGCGGCAGUUGGAACUUGACCGGUAUAGGCGGAGAGCUCGGUUCCGCGUCCGUUAACAGAUCCGCAUCCUACUCCCUCCAUUCAGAAAAGAAGGAUAAAAAACGCGAGCAAGACGUUAUUUAAAAAAAAUUCUAACUUUUUAGUUUUAAAAAGUCUAAAAAAAUACACGUGUGUACAUAAGGAAGGAUGUAUCGUACGUGUGUUAAAAAUUCAUGCUGAAAUACUAUGAAUUUGCGAGCUGCACAAAAGAACAAAUUCGUUGAUUUUAAGACUGAAUAGUUAAUGAGCUGAAAGCUACAAAUUUGUUUGAUUCUUCUGUAGCCCGCAAUCGAACAAAUUCACCGUCAAAAUUUACACACAUGUACAUGACAUUCCUCUGCAUAUAUGGAUUUUUUUUCUUCAUAGUAUUUUAAAAGAGUAAAGUACACCACAAGUUCUAAAUCUAUUUGAGGGGUGUCAAGUUAGUCCUAAAUUAUCAUGCUUUUACCCAAGAUUGUGGAUGUUGUUCGGAUUGAGUAAUUUAGACCCAUCUACCUGUUGAAUGUUAGUUUUAAAAUCUUCACAAAGAUGGGCACUAAUAGAUUGUCUACUAUUGCUCAUAUGGUUUUGCGCCCAACACAGACUGUCUUUAUGCCUGGUCACAAUAUUCUUGAGGGAGUGGUUGUCCUUCAUGAGACGGUCCAUGAGCUCCACGCUAAGAAACUUGAUGGAGUUUCAUUUAAGGUGGACUCUGAAAAUGCAUAUGACAAAAUCAAGUGGCAUUUUCUUUAACAAGCCCUCCGCAUGAAAGAUUUUGCGGCUGAAUAAAGGAAACAAGUGGCUUCCUACGUUCAAGGCAGGAGUGUUGGGGUUAAGGUGAACGAUGAAAUCAGUCAUUAUUUCCAAACCCGGAAGGGACCGAGGCAAGGUGAUCCCAUGUCACCAAUCUUAUUUCAUAUUGUAGUGGAUAUGUUGGCUAUUCUCAUAGCAAGAGCUAAGGAGGAUGGUCGGGUUGGGGGGCUGAAAGAGCAUGGUGCCCCAUGUUUGGUUUUGUUAAUUGAUGACAAUCUCUAUGGACUAAUGGUUGUCUUGAGUUAUAUUUGAAGGGUUUGUCCAUAUGCUUUUCUCGAAGUCCAUUUGUUGGUUUUAAGGAGUUUAUGUGUUGACCAAGGUGCUAUUCAAGGAAUUAUCCAAAGAGUGGUCAUAUAGAAGACAUGAUUCAAGGUUCAUCAAGACUAAGUCAAAGAGUGAAUCAAGUCGAUCAACACACAAAGCGUAGAAGAUGUACCGAGAGGUAUCAAGUGAUCCCAUGCUAUGGUAAGUAUUGUCCAUUACGCUUUGUGUACUAACCCAUGUCUACGUGAGAAUUCUAUAUGGGGUUAGAUUGCGGUGUGCAAGUUCAAGUGGAGCAUCACGAAGAGAUCAUGCUUGAAGCUUUCCAUCCAUUGUGAUAACAAUGGACUUGUGAAGAUGUGCAAAGAGUGACUCACCCAUAGUGGAGUAUGAGGGAGCAAUCAACUAGUCUUCACCGAGCCAACGCAAUCAAGAAAGGUGGUCCAACUUAAGGAAGUCAAGAUCGUCAUAAUCUAACUCAAGUGGACUAUGUGCAAGGCAAAGGUUUGCCCUUGAGAGAUUUUCUAUUUUACCUGUCUCAUGGUGGUAGUGAACUAUGUGCAAGGCAAAUGUUUGCCCUUAAUAGAUUUUCUAUUUUACCUGUCUCAUGGUGGUAGUUGGGAGACCAGGUUAUAGGAUCGAUUAUCGUACUAUCAAGGGGGGCUCUCAAGUUAGUAGCUUGAUCGUAUCGUUCGUAGAGAGAUCAAACCAUUGCAUUCUUGUAUCAUCUUUCUUGGUUCUUGUUUGGUGUUUCUCUUUGUGAGUUUUAGAGCUUAUGCUCAUCUUCAUGAGAAGCUUGAGUUCAUAGAAAACGGAGUUCAUAUGCAUCUUCUAUGAUGUUUUCGAUGUUGGAGUUUAUGUCGGUUCUUCACUGAUGGAGGUUUCACACCUCUAUAUCAUAGGCAUACUCCCCAUGCCACUUCUUACUAUAACUAGUCGCUGUUGGAUACUACUUGUUGUCUUCUAUCCAACAAGCUAGAGUUUGCUGAUUUCGAAGUCUGUUUGCAGGAGUUAUAGCAAUUUCAGUUUUGGAGCUUCCUUCUGUUUUGCUUGGGCAGUUUCUCAGUUUAAGUGGUAGUACGGCUCCCCCGAGCGGUACUUCUGCUUCCUUCUACUGCAACCACUUCUGCUUAAUUUUAUGCUUCUAUUGCCCAAACUGCUCGAGCGGUAGUGCCUCUCUGGCAGAACUACCGCUCUUGUUUUUCUGUCUCGUUGGGCUGUUAGUACCGCUUGAGCAUGACUUGUGGGCAUAACGGUUGGAUUGGGGGGGGGGCUUCUUCCCCAAUGGUCCCUAUCCUUUGAGCUCGUGUUUGCCACCCAUUGUUGACCUUCUUUGAGCUUGCUACCUCUCAAUCCCUCCCAUGGUUCUUGCUAGUUUUUGAGGGAAAAGAGAGAGGAGGUCUAAAUUCACAUUUCCAACAAUCAUUUUCUAAUGAGGACAUCAAUACCAUUGUGACACCCACACCCCCUACUGCUACAUAUACUGGACCAAUUACUAGAGCUCACGCACGCCAAUUAAAUUAUGAGGUACUUCCGUUUCUUGGUAAUGAUUCUAAUGUUCAUGAGAAUAUGAUGCUGCCUAAAUUGGAUACAUUUGUUUUGCUUACAAAUGAAGGGCCUAGCAUGGAUAAGAGGGAUGAACACUGGAGCAAGACCAAGCAUGGAGAUGAUGGCAUGCGCAAGGGGAACAAGAACGGAGUUACAAGUGAUGAUUUCAGGACUUUGAAGCCACCAAAAUCAAUCUAGACCCCGUUCCGGCACCCUAUCGGAGGGGGAAAUCAUCACCGGUGGCCAUCUUCAUCAUCCCGGCGGCCACCAUGAUGAGGAGGGAGUAGUCCACCCUCGGGGCCGAGGGUUUGUACCAAUAUCUAUGUGUUUAAUCUCUCUCUCUCUCUCUCUCUCUCUCUCUCUCUCUCUCUCUCUCUCGUGUUCUUGAGAUGUCACGAUCUUGAUGUACCACUGGCUUUGUUAAUAUAGUUGGAUCAUAUGGUGUUUUUCCCUCUCUAUCUUGUUGUGAAUUGAGGUUUCCCUUUGAGAUUUUGUUUUAUCGAAUAGAAUACUUGUAUGGAUUUGAGAGCACUUGAUGUAUGUCUUGCUAUGAAUACUCGUGGUGACAAUGGGGGUAUCAUAUUGAUUCACUUGAUAUGUGUUUUGGCACUCAACUUGCGGAUUCCCGAGGUGACAUUGGUGUAAUCUAUGCAUAGGGAUUGAUGCACGUUCUCAUCUUUGUUUCUCCGGUAGAAAUCUUGAGGCACUCUUUGAGGUUCUUUGUGUUGGAUUGGGUAUUAUGAAUCUGAAAUUGUUUGAUGCAUAUCAUAUAAUCAACUCACGGAUACUCGCGGUGACAUUGGAGUAUCUAGGUGACAUUAGAGUUGGUUGAUGUGUAUCAUAUGGUGUUAUUUUAGUACGAACUCUUGGUUAGAUCGGUCAGAAAGAAUAGCUUGGUGUUAUUUUAGUUCGAACUCUAGGAUAGAUUGAUCAGAAAGAAUAGCUUUAAUGUGGUUUCGUACCCUACAAACAAUUUCUUCUUAUGUUCUCCGCUAGAUAGGAACUUCGGAGUGAUUCUUCAUCGCACUUUGAGGGAUGGGUAUAUGAUCCAAUUAUAUUAGCAUUGUUGAGAGAUUGCCCUAGCGAAGGUACGCACCCUAGGCCUCAUUUUCAAGCAUUGCAAUACCAUUUGUGCUCACUUUUGUUACUCGCUACCUUGCUGUUUUUUAUUGUUACUAUUACCAAAAUGAAUAUCUACUAUCAUUACUACACUUGUAUCACCAUCUCUUCGCCGAACUAGUGCACCUAUACAAAUUACCAUUGUGUUUGGUGUGUUGGGGACACAACAGACGUUUUGUUAUUUGGUUGCAGGGUUGUUUGAAAGAGACCAUCUUCAUCCUACGCCUCCCACGGAUUGAUAAACCUUAGGUCAUCCACUUGAGGGAAAAUUGCUACUGUCCUACAAAACUCUACGCUUGGAGGCCCAACACGAGUCUACAAGAAUAAAGGUGUGUAGUAGACAUCAGGCUUACCCCGCAUCUGGUUGAUGGAGGUGUGUCUAUCCUCUAGUAUGCAGACAACACAAUCCUUUUUAUGGAACAUAACUUUCAAAAAGCAAUAAUAUGAGGUUGAUUAUGUGUCUCUUCAAACAACUUUUGGACCUCAAAAUUAAUUUCCACAAAAAUGAGCUCUUCUAUUUUGGUAUGGCCAAAGAGGAGGAGAGUCGGUACAAACAAAUAUUUGGCUGCGAGGUGGGAUCCCUUCUUUUAUCAUAUCUCGAGAUUUCAUUCAUCACCGUAAGCUCACCAACAAGACGCUCAACAGUUGGAAGGGCAAGCUCUUGUCAUAUGAGGGACGACUUACCCUCAUCAACGUUGUCCUUACUAGUCUACUGAUAUUCAUGUUAUCCUUUUUUAAGAUACCUAAAGGGGUCUUGAAAAGGCUAGACUUUUAUCGGUCCAGGUUCUUUUGGAAAUGCGAAGACAAGAAGCGGAAGUACAUACUUGCUAAAGGGGAAAUUCUGUGUAGGCCUAAGGGUCAAGGUGGGUUGGGCAUUGAGAGUCUCAAAAUAAAAAAACAAGUGCUUACUCAACAAAUGGUUGUAUAAGCUACUUAAUGAGGAAUGUGUUUGGCAAGAGUUGCUGCAUAACAAAUACCUGAACUCCAAAAUGUUAUCCCAAGUAGAUGCUAAGCCUAUUGAUUCAUUGUUUUGGAGGGGCUUGAUGAAAUCAAGUCAUCCUUUUUCAAGACAUGUUCCUUUAAGAUUGGUGGCGGCUAAUUGACAAGUUUUUGGGAAGAUACCUGGUUGGGUGACACUCCAUUAGCUCUACAAUACCCAACCCUGGAUAAUAUUGUGUUCAGAAAAGAGGAUUCUGUGGCUUUUGUUCUUGGGGAUAGCCCUCUGAACAUCCAAUUUCGCAGGGCAUUAUUGGGCUACAAAUGGACUAAGUGGAUCCAUUUGGUUUCUAGAUUGAUGUCAAUUAAUCUAACUUGGAUGCCAUAUUCAUUUUAGUGGAGGUUAACCACUAAUGGUGUUUUUAAUGUGAAGUCUAUAUAUGAGGAUCUUGUGGGUUCUAGACCAAAUUUUUGCAGGGAACAUAUUUGGAAAACAAAGGUUCCUUCCAAGAUCAAAGUUUUCAUGUGGUUUUUUGCAGAAAGAGGUUGUUCUUACCAAAGAUAACCUUUUAAGCGUAACUGGCAUGGCAGCAAAAAAUGUUGUUUUGUGGUCAGGGGAGACAAUUCAUCAUUUUUGUUGUCAUGUCCGUUUACAACAUUAAUCUGUUGCAUGAUUCAUGUUACAUAAAAUUUAGCACCACAAACGAGUAUUUCAAAUCUGUUUGGAAACUGGUUAGGUGGCGUUCAUCAUAAGUUGAAGGGCCAAAUCCGUGUAGGCGUUUGUGCACAUUCUUUGAGCAAUAUGGAAUUGUUGGAAUGGUUUCAUCUUUAAUACAUCAUCUUCUCCAAAUUUCUUGCAGGUUAUCUACAGAGCUACAACUUCAAUCCCUAUGUGGUCAUCACCAACAGUGUGUGGACGCGCGAGCGAUUAUGUCCUUUGGGUGUAGUGUUGGGAAACGUUGCAUGGAAAACAAACAAAAUUCUAUGCACACGCAAGAUCUAUCAAGGAUAUGCAUAGCAACGAGAGGGGAGAGUGUGUCUACGUACCCUCGUAGACCGUAAACGGAAGCGUUUCACUACGCGGUUGAUGUAGUCGGACUUUCUUCGCGAUCCAACAGAUCUAGUACCGAACGUACGGCACCUCCGCGUUUAGCACACGUUUAGCUCGGUGCCGUCCCUUGCCUUCUUGAUCAAGCAAGACGUCGAGGUAGUAAAUGAGUUCCGUCAGCACGACAACGUGGUGACGAUGAUGACGAAGUGAUCUCCGCAGGGCUUCGCCUAAGCACUACGAAAAUAUGACCGGAGUGUAAAUGGUGGAGGGGGGCGCCGCACACGGCUAGGCAAUUGCCUUGGGUGUGCUAGGCGCCCCCUCCCACCUAUAUAUAGGUGGGAGGGGGAGGGGAGGCAGCCUGGCGCACCAGAUAGGUGGCCGGCCGGCCCUAGGGCUCCUGCCCUGGCCGCGCCCCCCUGCUUUGUAUUCCCAAGGGGGAAGGAAAGAGGGGGGAGAGGGAAGGAAGUGGGAAUCCUAAUCCACACUUUCCUUUCCCUUCCCCCUUUCCUUCUCCUCAUUAGACUAGCCUGCUAUGGGGGCGCACCAGCCCCUUGUGGCUGGUGUGUUUCCUCUCUUGGCCCAUAAGGCCCAUAUCUUUGCCGGGGGUGCCUGAAACUCCUUUCCGAUGACCCGAUAAGUACCCGGUACCCCCGAAACACUUUCGGUGUCCGAAUACUAUCAUCCUAUAUAUAAAUCUUUACCUCUCAACCAUUUCGAGACUCCUCAUCAUGUCUGUGAUCUCAUCCGAGACUCCGAACAACAUUCGGUCACCAAAUCACAUUACUUAUAUAAUAUUAUAUCAUCAACGAACGUUAAGCAUGCGGACCCUACGGGUUCGAGAACUAUGUAGACAUGACCGAGACACCUCUCUGGUCAAUAAUUAAUAGCGAACUUGGAUGCCUAUAUUGGUUCCUACAUAUUUGGUAACCCACAAGUAUAGGGGUUCGCAAUAGUUUUCGAGGGUAGAGUAUUCAACCCAAAUUUAUAGAUUCGACACAAGGGGAGCCAAAGAAUAUUUGUAAGUAUUAGCAGCUGAGUUGUCAAUUCAACCACUCCUGGAGAUUAAUUAUUUGCAGCAAAGUGAUCAUUAGCAAAGUAGUGUGAUAGUUUUCAUAGUAGUAGCAACAGCAGUUGUAACGGUAACAGUGAUAGCAAUGAUUUUGUAGCAAGUGCAACAGUAACAACAGCAGUAGUAACUUAGCAAGAUCAAUAUGUAGGAAAAUCAUAGGCAUUGGAUCGGCGAUUUGUUGGAUGAUAUUCAUCAUGUGACAGUUAUAACCUAGGGCGAUACGGCACUAGCUCCAGUUCAUAAAUAUAAUGUAGGCAUGCAUUCCGUAAAUGGUCAUACGUGCUUAUGGAAAGAACUUGCAUGACAUCUUUUGUCCUACCCUCCCGUGGCAGUGGGGUCCUAUUGGAAACUAAGGGCUAUUAAGGUCUCCUUUUAAUAGAGAACCGGAAAAAAGCAUUAACACAUGGUGAAUACAUGAACUCCUCAAACUACGGUCAUCACCGUGAAGUGUCCCGACAAUUGUCACUCCGGGGUUGCCGGAUCAUAACACGUAGUAGGUGACUAUAACUUGCAAGAUCGGAUCUAGAACAUAGAUAUAAUGGUGAUAACAUAAACGGUUCAGAUCUGAAAUCAUGGCCCGGGCCCAAAGUGACAAGCAUUAAGCAUGGCAAAGUCAUAGCAACAUCAAUCUCAGAACGUAAUGGAUACUAGGGAUCAAACCCUAAAAAAACUAACUCGGUUACAUGAUGAAUCUCAUCCAACUCCUCACCGACGAGCGAGCCUUCGAAGGAAUUACUCACUCCCGGUGGGGAGCAUCAUGGAAUUGGUGAUGGAGAAGGGUUGGUGAUGACGAAGAUCGAAGAUCCCCGUCUCUAGAGCCCCAAACGGACUCCAGAUCUUGCCUCCUGAUGAAGAACACGAGAUCGCGGCGGCUCCGUCUCGUGGAACCUGAUAAUUCUUUCUCCCUGAUUUUUUCUUGAAAAAUGCGAUUUUAUAGCGUCGGUUUCAGGGUAUGCGGGGCCACCAGGUGGGGACAGCUCACCUGGGCGCGCCUGGAGGGGGUGGCGCGCCCUAGUGGGUUGUGCCCACCCAGGUGCCCCCCUCCGGUGGUUCUUGGCUCCAGAAAUUAUCUUUUAUUGUAAAAAACCCCCGCAAAGUUUCGUUCCAAUCCGAGAACUUUUAUUUCUGCACAAAAACAACACCAUGGUAGUUCUGCUGAAAACACGCCAGUAUGGGUUAGUUUCAUUUAAAUCAUGCAAAUUAGAGUCCAAAACAAGAGGAAAAGCGUUAGGAAAAGUAGAUACGACAGAGACGUAUCAACUCCCCCAAGCUUAAACCAUUGCUUGUCCUCAAGCAAUUCAGUUGAUAAACUGAAAGUGAAAAAUAAAAACUUUUACGAACUCUUUUGCUCUUGUUUGCAUAAAUAAGUGUCACGCCCAAGAUGCGAUUCUAUCCCAAUCACGUGAUGAAUUCAUGAUCGGGGCACAAUCGCAUUUCGAGCGCAUAGCAAGGUGGAUAUCAUGAAUGACAAACAAGACAUCCCCGAAUCAGCAUAGCCAAGGAUUCUUUAAGACACCUCACGACCACUGUAAAUCGACCGUGAAAAACGAACCACUAGACGUUGGACCCCAAUAUCAAAUCAUACAUCUGUGGAAAAGAAAUCUUAGGUAACUACUUGAAUUCCCACCUAUUAACUCCCGAAACUUUCUGGUUAUGCAAUCCAGUGUUGGGGAUACAGGGAGGCACAAAUAUCUCACACAACUAACAAGCCCUAUGCUCCAACUGUAUCAAUCCUUCAACACAUAACCAAGAAACCUUCGGAAAUUGUGUACCUCAGACCUUCGAAAACAUCCGAUAUACUAGUUGUGGCAAUACAUCUGAUCACUCUCCCCAGUACUGGGUGUCGUCAAACUACUCUCACCACAAAGAGUAUAGAAGCGUUUUCGAUGCCGGCGACCUCUGGUAUUCCAGAACUGAAACGAUAAACACUGUGACAAAAACACAUUGGAGCUCAACUCCCUAGGACACUGCCACAACCCCUAAAUGUCAGGAGGCACCAAGACAGAAUUCCCGUCACAAUGAUAUCGCAACGAUCCAACAAUACCCGCGUGAUCCUAAAAAAAAGUUUUGAGUGAAAAGGAGGAGAGUGAAAGUCAAAACAUCUACGUCAGGAGUCCUCACCAGAGCGAUGAGGGGGAUAAGGAAUAAAAAGAAUUCCUACUCUCCGAUAUAACUAGACUCAAAAUUGUUUUUUCUAGACUCAACAAUGGUAGCGGUUCGAUCAAUCAAGGGGGCUCCUAAGGUCGGUAAGGCUCUGAUACCAACUUGUAACGCCCCGGACGAUCCCGCCAGGAGUAACGACUACCGGCGGGUGCGUCCGGGGCGUUACAAUAAGCUUAAAUAACACCCAAGUUUUCAUCCAAUAUUAUAACUAACCAUGUCGACAAUAACUCUUAAAAAUUAUAUUAACUCAUAUCAAUGACAUAGUCAGCUAGCGAGCAAUAAUAAGAAAUCUCAAACAACAACACGUUGUCAAAACAACCAUGAUAUAAUAUGACAUUAGUGGUAUCUCGCUAGCCCUUUCUGAGACCGCAAAACAUAAAUGCAGAACACCUCCAAAGUUCAAGCAACGACUAAACAUUGUAAUUCAUGAUAGAAAAGAUCCAGUCAUGAUGCACCCAACAUUAGCUACACACAAUGCAUAAGCAUGACAUCAGUGCUCUCAGGUUCUGGCGCUUAUUUUAGAAGGUGAUGACACAACAUAAAAGUAAAUAGAUAGUCCCUUCACAGAGGGAAGCAGUGAUUUGCAGUGGUGCUAGAGCUCAAUUUUUAAAACAAAGGUAAAUGAUCUUUUGAGAAAUGCACCCUUCUUGUUUACUUCGCAACCAUCAAUUAUCAAUAUCUUCCAUGCUAAACACAUUAGCGGCGGUUCCCAAGCGAUAAAGUAAAGGUUAUUGCUCCAUAGAAGUUUUUGUUUGAUUAAUUGUAAGCUCUUUUUGCAAUUUGGCACUGGGCAUCCCUAUUACCGCCCCCUUCUCGUGCAAUGGCGAGUAAAUAAACACCCAACCUGGGAAUAACCCACUUAGCAUGAAAGAUACCGACUACCUCCUGUCACUCUAUGAACAAUCCAGGCACACAAAAAGGAUAUUUAUUUGAAGUUUUUAGAGGUGGCACAUGCAAAUUUACUUAGGAUGGCAGGGUAAUACCGCAUAUAGGUAGACAUGGUGGACUCAUCUAGAAUAACUUGGGUUUCAGGUUUUGGAUGUACAAGCAGAAUUCCCACUUAGUACAGGCGAAGGCUAGCAAAUAGGUUGAGAAGCUAUCGGCCAGCUAGAGUGUAACAGCCUGGAUUUUGGCCCUUUUCUUUUUCUUUUAAUUUAAUUGGUUUUUGCUCUGUUUUUCUUUUUGGAGUGGUUCUGUGGCCUUGUCACCUGGGAAAUCAUCCUCUUUUUCCCUCCCAAGUGGCUCAUCAUUCUCAAAACCUUGCCAAGAUCAUGUCACUCCACUGCUUGACCAAACCCUAAUUUCUUUUUCUCAGGAAUAUUCCUUUUUCUAUUAAAGGAAUAACCCUGUCUGCCCUAGGUUGUUAAGCAACCUUUAUUUCCAUCACUCCUAAAAUUCCCAAAUAAUUCUCAAAAAUUGUUUGGAUCAUAUCUUUCUCAAAUAUGGCAAAAUAUUUCAUUUGUCAUGUUUAUCAUCAUGCUCAAAUAAUUCAUUUCCUAUUCUGCCCUAAAUGGCACAUUGUGAAGCAAGUGCUAUUUUAAUUUUCCCAAUUGAUCUCCAACUCCUUGGACACCUUUUCCUGUCCAUAUAAUUCCCACAUGCCAAAAUGCAACCUCAUUUGCCUAGUAAUUAUUUAAUUAUGAUUUUCCAAAGUUUCUUCCCAAAAAGAAGCUUUGUGAAGGAGGUGCAAGCUAGGAAUAUCAAAAUGAGUUGCCAUUUUGCAUGAUCCCUCAUAUCAUCGUAUCAUAGCCCUCCACAAAGUAGAGCUCAUUUCAUGCCUCCAUGUGAGCUCAUAUUCAAUUCUUUGAUUCUGCCCAAAAUUUCAGUUUGUGAAGAAAGUAUAUUUUAUCUUGCUCCAUUAUGGCUUUCAAUUUUUCUAGGCCUUCUAUUAUCCAUAUAACCUACCUCCACCCAUUUUGGGGAUAGUUCAUCAAGCCAUUAUUCCUCUAGAAUUUUUGCAAGUUUCUGGUCAGAAAGGAUGUUUGUGAAGCAAGUACCAUUUUGGUGAAUCCAAUUGGUAUGAAACUUAUACAGCAUCUUUAUAUGAUCAAAUAAUGAAGGAUUGCCAAACUUGAGCUCAAGUGGCCACACCAUUUGAGUGCAUCAUCCAAAUCUCAUUUCUGGACCAUUUUGGUCAGUUGCAAAGCAACUAUGAUUUAUAUUGCUCCAAUUAUUCUCCAAAUUACCAGGAUGAAAGUCCUUCUUUACCUAAACCUCUCAGACAACUCCAUUGGAUCCAAAACCCUUCCUCUUGAUCACUAGUGCUCACCCAAGUUUACUGCAGUAAACUUCAGAGGGUUCUUACCGUUUAACAAGAUCACUUUUAACCAAUCUACCACCGUAGAGGAGACCUACCCUGGAUGAACUUACCACUAGACAUCAUGUUCAAGCCUGUCGCCCCCGCUACAUGCCAGUGCACGCGCUCUGUGUGCAGUGGCCGCGCCCAGUGGCUGUUUGUGCUUCGACCCCUCCUCCUCUCAUCGUCUUCGCGCGCGUGAGCAUGUCCAAGAGUUUUACCGCGUCGUCGCCGUCGUCCUUGACCUCUCUCCCUCUUAGUAAAACCGCUCACCGACGCUCGCCGCCGAACGCCCACGAGAGCACAGUGCUCCGUUUGGCUCUGCUCGUUGCCGUCGUCAUCCUCCCCGUGCUCCCUUGGCCGCCUCUGCCCCGUGAGAGACUCCACUGUGCCUCCCUCGUCGCCUGCCUCCGAGCUCAUGCGCGUGGGCACGCGUCCGCGGCGCCGGCCACGCGUCCGCGGCGACGCCAGCACGGCUCCCCCUCCCGUCGGCUAUAUAAGCCACCCCGAGCUCCCUAGACCGCACCAGCCUCCUCACCUCUCCCCUCUAGGCCUCCCCGACCACCCAAACGAGCUCGCGGAGCUCUCGUUGCCCUCCCAUGGCCGAAGCUUCGCCGCGGUGCUCCGCUCAAAUCCGGCCGACCCGAGCCACCCCUCCACUCCCUGAUCUUACCCUAGUAUUCCCCGUGCUCCUGCGAGUCUCCUCAACCCCAAGCCUUGCCGCCGGAGCAGCCACAUCGCCAUUCCCGCAUCUGCCCGAACCGCCGUCCGCCGGAGUUCAUGUCGUCGUCGCCUCAGUCCAUUCUGGAGCCCGUGACCUCCACCUUCGGGUGCGGCUCCUCCUGCUGAGCUCGCCCAUAGGUCGAGCGAGGCGAGGGAUGGCCGGAGCCGGCCGGACGAGCCCCCGCGCCGGCGACGUCCCUCUGCUCCGCGGGCGCGAGCGAGGUAGAUGAAGACGACGACCCCCCCUGCGAACUGGCCGCGGGCCCCGCGCGUCAGCCCCUCAGCCGUUGACCCGCCAGCCAUGUCAGAUAAGUGGAGACGAAUUUCCAGCUUUCCGUUUUCUCCUUCCAAAAGCGUAUUUCGCCUCUAUUUCAGCUAAAAUACGCUUCCCUUAUCUGAAAGCGUAUUAUGUAUCUGUUUCAGCAAGGAAUACGUUUUCCCUGAAGCCAAGGCGUAUUCUUUAAAGUACGCUUUCCGUUUUUCUGCCCAGGCCCAAUUUGUUAAGAUUUUUCUUACAGAUAGGCCCCUGACAGAGAAACAAGUGUAUCUUUUUACUCCUAGCUCCGAAUCAGGUGAAUCCAAAGCUCACUUCUUCGUUUCGUCGAGCCCGUUCUGAUGGAAUCAUUUUCAGCAUGUUUUGACAUUCUGAAAAUGACCAUUUUGCCCCUGCCUUAUUUAGCCCCCUCCGAGAGAGAACGUUUUCGACGAUCCUUUCCGCGAGCUUCUCGCACUUCUUUUCGGUGAUUUCUUCCACCCCAGGCAAGACACACCCUCCAUUUGCAUGAUUGCAAUGCAGUGACAUGGUUUCUUUAUUUAAACUUGUUUAAAAUAUUGUGUUAGCUAGGUAUGAUUUGUUCAUGGCAUUUCUCGGAGUAUUGUUUGAUCUUGAUAUUGCCAUGAUAUUGCUUGGAGUUCUAGGAUUAAUAUUUUGAUGAUUAUGUGGAUGACAUGUGCCUUCGGAUUCUUAGUGGUUAUUAUGAUUAUUUUUCAUGAUGGUAUCUGGUGAUAUUUUGGAGUAUUACUUUGGAUAUCAUGCUGCCUUUGGAUUAUUAGUGGUUAGUAUGAUUAUUUUUCAUGAUGCUAGUUGACGUUCUGUUGCUUGGAGUAUUAUUUUCGGAGAUGAUGUUUACAUGUGGAUCUUAGCCGAAUAGCUUUAUUCUUGUUAUUGGAGUAGUAGGAUUAUUGAUUUUCGGAUUCAUCAUGACAGUAGUGUUGUGCUACCCUUGGAGUAUUUUGAGAUGAGGAGAUUAUGCUUGGAUUAUUUGUUGGAUAUUGCUAUGACUUGGAUUAUAGGUUGAUAGAUGAUAUUGGAGUAUCAAUUACCACAGUUAUAUUUUUGGGGAUAAAUUCCGUCAUUAAGUUGGUCAAGUGCCACCGAACCGGGCUUUUCCAGUGCAACCACAUUUGCCUUUAUGGGAAGGCCCUAAUGCGGUCUAUUGUCAUGUCUCUCGCCGGUGCCUCCAACGAGGGAAGGUUAUGGGCGUGCGUACCCUGGCCCGGUAAGCAGACAUAACCUUGUGUGCCCGUUGUUGUUGUUAUGGAUCUGGUCCCCGUGAGGGACGUUUUGGCCACGACAGUGGUCGGUGUGUCUUUGGUAGACACGGGGCCACCCAGGACCAAACCCAGAAGGGAUGUUGGUCGGAGUGGCCGGGAGAGUGUCAUGGCAGUAGAUCGGUUUUGUCGGAACGCCGUUGGUCCACCCGAAUGGGAGUACGAGGUCAUGGGUUCUGUGGUGUGGGUACAAUGUGCUACCUCUGCAGAGUGUAUUAAUCUAUCGAUAGUCGUGUCCUCGGUCAUGGGCAUGGGUUCGUACUAGGUCCCACCAUUUGAUCAACACUCACAUGACGGAAUGACUUAUAGGUGAUUUAUAUGAUGAUAUAUUGUGAGCAGUAACAGUUUGGCAGGAUGUUGAUGAUGAUGUUGGAGACCAAGUGUUGGUCAUGGUUGUGAUCGCCGGAAAGAUCACAGUUUGAGACCAAGUGUUGGUUAUGGUAGUGAUCGCCGGAAAGAUCACCGUGUGGUUUUGAUCAUGAGUUGAUCGAGAUGGUAUAUUGCUUGGCCGGUUAGCUAAGAGAGAUAUGGUUAUGGAGAUCUGAGAUGGCGAUUUAUCAGCACCGUAUUAGUUUCAUCUCAUGCUUAGUAGUUGCUUCAUCAUGGUAGUUGUUAAUCAAUUAACCUGUUAAUGCUAUGUUAUUGUCUUGCCUUGAUGUUUAUGGUUUUUGUGAGCUUGCAAGUACAUUCAAUGUACUGACCUGGUGUGUCAUGCCAGAUUGCAGGUGAUGUCAUGAUUGCUUGAUUGCUUGUCGAGGUUGCCGUGCGUGCGAGCUAGAUCGUGUCCCAGCCAGAGUCCCUGCAGAGUGGAGUUCACCACCUUCGUCGUUGUUCCGCUGCUAGAAGUAUUCCGCUGCUACGAGUUGUUCCGCUGCUAGCAUAGAGCAAGUAUAGUAUCGCAGGCGUGGUGUCGCAGUGCUGAUGUGCUUCUUUGUAACAUCAGACCCUUCUAAUUUUUAUUCUUGUAAUAAGAGAUGAUUUGUUCUAUGUCAAGCAGUGCCGUAUUCCAGAGACUUCUCCUCGAUCUCUGGGCUGGAAUACGGGGCGUUCCGGUUUCUCUGAGCCGGGGUGCCACAUAGAGAGCAACAACGGUCAUGAAGAUGCAUUAUGCGUAAGUAACAUUGGAUACUAGCAUGAGUAGGAUAUGAACACAAUGAACAUAAAUAUCAUAGAGGCUAUGUUGGUUUUGAUUCAACUACAUGCAUGAACAUGUGCCAAGUCAAGCCACUCGAACAUUCUGAGGAGGAUACCAUAUCAUCAUACUACAUCACAAUCAUUUUAACGCAAUGUUGACAUCCAAGAUAAAUCAUUAUCCACACCUAGCUACUUAUGCAUGGCAUGAGAAACUAUAAUCUCUAAUGGUCAUUGCAAACAUGUUUAAUCAUAAUAGGCUGAAUCAUGGAUACUAGGUUAAACAUAUUUACAAAAACAGAACAAGUCGAGUUCAUACCCG
Molecule: long non-coding RNA, 32222 nt
Filed under: Triticum aestivum (bread wheat)
Lineage: Eukaryota; Viridiplantae; Streptophyta; Magnoliopsida; Poales; Poaceae
Description: long non-coding RNA (TAES_LNC000356)
Source: RNAcentral